AAGGCUAUAGCUUAACAGGUAAAGCGUACUGCUCAUGAUAGUUCUAAUAGGUGUUCAAAUCACCUUAGCCUUA
This 73-nucleotide transfer RNA is filed under the name Nadvornikia sorediata. Its description in RNAcentral is "tRNA-Met". It matches the Rfam family "tRNA". Rfam says of the family: Transfer RNA (tRNA) molecules are approximately 80 nucleotides in length. Their secondary structure includes four short double-helical elements and three loops (D, anti-codon, and T loops). The record is from RNAcentral. Lineage: Eukaryota; Fungi; Ascomycota; Lecanoromycetes; Ostropales; Graphidaceae.